GACGAACCGAGCGAACGUUGUUCGGAAUCACUGGGCUUAAAGGGCGCGUAGGCGGGCGGUUAAGUCUGCGGUGAAAUCCUCCAGCUCAACUGGAGAACUGCCGUGGAUACUGGCUGUCUCGAGGAAGGUAGGGGCGUGUGGAACUAUCGGUGGAGCGGUGAAAUGCGUUGAUAUCGAUAGGAACUCCGGUGGCGAAGGCGACACGCUGGACCUUUUCUGACGCUGAGGCGCGAAAGCCAGGGGAGCAAACGGGAUUAGAUACCCCGGUAGUCCUGGCCCUAAACGAUGGGUACUAGCUAGUAGAGUUCACAUGGCUUUACUGGCGAAGCAAAAGUGCUAAGUACCCCGCCUGGGGAGUAUGGUCGCAAGGCUGAA
RNAcentral lists this ribosomal RNA (375 nucleotides) under uncultured bacterium. Its description in RNAcentral is "bacterial SSU rRNA". It matches the Rfam family "Bacterial small subunit ribosomal RNA", at positions 524 to 898 of the family's 1533-position model. The record is from RNAcentral.